Nomascus leucogenys (northern white-cheeked gibbon) is the source of this 1193-nucleotide long non-coding RNA. RefSeq lists it as uncharacterized. The record is from RefSeq and is a predicted model, not a curated record. NCBI's taxonomy places the organism in Eukaryota, Metazoa, Chordata, Mammalia, Primates, Hylobatidae. The transcript has 3 exons.
UCAAGAGUUCAUCUCAGGAGACAAGGACUGUGCCGAGUGUCGCCUCCUGCCUGGAGUGACCCUGACCCUGGGCGGGGACCCCUGGGCCUGCCGUCAGCCAGCAGAGAGAGGGAGCUGCACCAGCCUCUCACAUGAGCAGGAGCACCUAUGGAGCACCUGCUGCAUGCAGUGGGAGCAGGGAGAGAGGAGAUCUCUCGUAAUGCAGCCAGGUGGUGUCCGGGGGACUGAGGCCCACCAGCGCCUCCACCUUUUCCCGGCCUGACGGCGAAUUCCGGUGCUGCUUCCUCAGCCCUGGCUCAGAUGCCACCCUGCCGCUGCAGGAUCUGCCUUCUGCUCUGCAUCCUGGCUCUGUCAUCAGCAGCCCUGGUCUCAAGGGGAGGCCCUCUGGGCGCACCGGCUCCCGCGUGUCUCAGAGGCUAUGCAGACAGGAGUCCCUGGACUGGGCUGUGUUAGCUGGGGCUCCUUCCCUCCAGCAAUGAGUCCCCAGAUCGUCUCCCUCGUGUGCCUCAGUUCUCAAAGGUCCCGGCAGCCCCUCUGUGCCAGGCAGUGGCCCUGCGCCAGCAGCCUCCUCCCACAGCCCAGGAGCUGGAGGAAACAGCUCAGCCAAGCCCUGCCGCCAGCUAGAGCCCGGACUCCCUCCUUGACAUUCAGAGCUGCUGAGUUUUCCUGCGCACGGCCCAGGCGUCCGCCUGACGCAUGUCCACCAUGUUCACCUUGGCUGUGUCACACGUGAGAAGACUGAGGCUCAGUGAGGGCCCAGCAGAGCAGGUGGAGCUGGUCAGCCCGGCUGUGCCCUGACAUGUGGGGGUGGGGGGUGUGGAAUCUUAAUGAGGGAAAAGGAGUUGGGCUGGCAGGACUGAGGGAAGGCAAAAAGAAGAAGCAAAGAAGCUUUAAGUCUGCCCUUCUUCAUUGUCCAGGACACACAGCCCUCCUGCAGAAAUAACUUACAGUCUUCCUGCGCCCGGCUAUCACCAGACCCUUGGCUGAUAGGAGAAUGGAUGUUAGCUGAGUGCAACCUUGGCGUUAUCAGCACUGCCCGUGGCCCUCUCUGGCACACAGCACAGGCACCGUCCUAUAACAUUCCCAGCAAGCCCUCAUCUCUUUGCAGCGGCUCCUCUCUUGCUGACCUGCCGGUUGCUUCCGUGCUAUGCACUUUUCCUACUUUCUCUAAUAAAUCUGCCUUUCUUUACGUA